Molecule: ribosomal RNA, 500 nt
Filed under: uncultured Sphingobacteriales bacterium
Lineage: Bacteria; Pseudomonadati; Bacteroidota; Sphingobacteriia; Sphingobacteriales
Description: bacterial SSU rRNA
Rfam family: Bacterial small subunit ribosomal RNA
Source: RNAcentral
CCUUGCCAGCCCGCUCAGAACUUAAAGGAAUUGACGGGGGCCCGCACAAGCGGUGGAGCAUGUGGUUUAAUUCGAUGAUACGCGAGGAACCUUACCUGGGCUCAAAUGUAUGUUGACGUAUUCUGAAAGGGAUACUUCUUCGGACAAUAUACAAGGUGCUGCAUGGUUGUCGUCAGCUCGUGCCGUGAGGUGUCGGGUUAAGUCCCAUAACGAGCGCAACCCCUAUCAUUAGUUGCCAUCAGGUCAAGCUGGGGACUCUAAUGAAACUGCCUACGCAAGUAGUGAGGAAGGUGGGGAUGACGUCAAAUCAGCACGGCCCUUACGUCCAGGGCUACACACGUGCUACAAUGGCCGGUACAAAGGGCAGCUACCUGGUGACAGGAUGCUAAUCUCAAAAGCCGGUCUCAGUUCGGAUCGGAGUCUGCAACCCGACUCCGUGAAGUUGGAUUCGCUAGUAAUCGCGCAUCAGCCAUGGCGCGGUGAAUACGUUCCCGGGCCUU